CGAGGGGCAGCGGGAAGGUUAGCUUGCUAAUCUUUGCCGGCGACCGGCGCACGGGUGAGUAACACGUAUGCAACCUGUCCGGUACAGGGGGAUAAGCGGCGGAAACGCCGUCUAAUACCGCGUGACAACCCGAGGGGGCAUCCCCUUGGGUUCAAAGGAGAGAUCCGGUACCGGCUGGGCAUGCGGCGCAUUAGCUAGUUGGCGGGGCAACGGCCCACCAAGGCGACGAUGCGUAGGGGUUCUGAGAGGAAGGUCCCCCACACUGGAACUGAGACACGGUCCAGACUCCUACGGGAGGCAGCAGUGAGGAAUAUUGGUCAAUGGGCGCAAGCCUGAACCAGCCAAGUCGCGUGAGGGAAGACGGCCCUACGGGUUGUAAGCCUCUUUUGCCGGGGAGCAAGCCUGAGCACGUGUGCCCAGGCGGAGAGUACCCGGAGAAAAAGCAUCGGCUAACUCCCUGCCAGCAGCCGCGGUAAUACGGAGGAUGCGAGCGUUAUCCGGAUUUAUUGGGUUUAAAGGGUGCGCAGGCGGGCUGUUAAGCUGGCGGUAAAAAUUCAGGGCUCAACCCUGUCGAGCCGUCGGAACUGGCAGUCUUGAGUGGGCGAGAAGUAUGCGGAAUGCGUGGUGUAGCGGUGAAAUGCAUAGAUAUCACGAAGAACGCCGAUUGCGAAGGCAGCAUACCGGCGCCCGACUGACGCUGAGGCACGAAAGCGUGGGG
This 718-nucleotide ribosomal RNA is filed under the name uncultured bacterium. RNAcentral describes it as "bacterial SSU rRNA". It matches the Rfam family "Bacterial small subunit ribosomal RNA", at positions 63 to 766 of the family's 1533-position model. The record is from RNAcentral.